ACAUCCAGCGAACUUUCCAGAGAUGGAUUGGUGCCUUCGGGAACGCUGAGACAGGUGCUGCAUGGCUGUCGUCAGCUCGUGUUGUGAAAUGUUGGGUUAAGUCCCGCAACGAGCGCAACCCUUAUCCUUUGUUGCCAGCGAUUCGGUCGGGAACUCAAAGGAGACUGCCGGUGAUAAACCGGAGGAAGGUGGGGAUGACGUCAAGUCAUCAUGGCCCUUACGAGUAGGGCUACACACGUGCUACAAUGGCGCAUACAAAGAGAAGCGACCUCGCGAGAGCAAGCGGACCUCAUGAAGUGCGUCGUAGUCCGGAUCGGAGUCUGCAACUCGACUCCGUGAAGUCGGAAUCGCUAGUAAUCGUGGAUCAGAAUGCCACGGUGAAUACGUUCCCGGGCCUUGUACACACCGCCCGUCACACCAUGGGAGUGGGUUGCAAAAGAAGUAGGUAGCUUAACCUUCGGGAGGGCGCUUACCACUUUGUGAUUCAUGACUGGGGUGAAGUCGUAACAAGGUAGGCGUAGCGAG
Molecule: ribosomal RNA, 525 nt
Filed under: uncultured bacterium
Lineage: Bacteria
Description: bacterial SSU rRNA
Rfam family: Bacterial small subunit ribosomal RNA
Source: RNAcentral